Molecule: long non-coding RNA, 1176 nt
Filed under: Marmota monax (woodchuck)
Lineage: Eukaryota; Metazoa; Chordata; Mammalia; Rodentia; Sciuridae
Source: RNAcentral
CUCAGUGCCUGACGGCAGCAGCUCAGGGAGCAGAGGGAGACCUUGCUGUUGCUCCUCGCAAGCGAGUCUCUCAGGGCUUUUGCAAAUUUGCACUUUCUAGGUGUCCUGGGGGCUCAUUCAGCCCUCACCCUCAGCCUGGGUGAGUCCCUGGUCCUCUCCAGGAGCUUUCUGCUGGUGGCAGUCCUCUUACAGCUGUCACUACUGUCCCUGGGCUCUGGAUGACGCUGUCCUGUGCAGCCUCUAGGUUCUCAUCUCAUUUCCUGGCCUCCCUUCCCCAGCAUGAGAAGGCGAACAAAAUCCCCAGGAAACAUCUGAGUUCUCCAGGUGAGUCCUCCAGACCCGUCGGUAGUCAGUUUCCAUCAAUAGCCAAGUGACCCGGGCUCUUUGGUUAUGACAGGACUGUCCCAGUGUGGGGUUCUAGUUAUCGGCCCUGUUCCUUUGGGUCUGCAGCCCGUCCAGGCAGAGCAAAACCUCAUGGCCAGGAAGCAAAAGAGGCAGGGGCCGGGGCCCCCUGAUCCCUUCGGGGACAUGUCCUCAAUAUUCCAGCACCCGCCCCCCAGGCCCCAGCUCCCCGAGGUGCCCUGACCUCCCAGCAGCCCCAGGACCAAGCCCUCAACACGUGGACUUUUGGGGGACAUUUCUGUCCAGAUCACAGCACACAUCCCUUCCUUUCCCCAAAUCCAUGUGUCCCUCUCACACUUGAUCACCUAAUUUCUAUCCUGGGGUUAAAUCCUCGCAUCAGGACCUUGAACACAUUCUGGAAGAAAACUUGUCUCACUUUCCCGUGUGUCCCGUGGAAAGUCCACACCGCAGUCGAGGCAGCGUGUUCGGAUCUCAUCCCUGACUUUGAAAGACAUGAACGACUCCGCUCUAGCUGUUGGAAUUUCCUAUCACCCGCCCCCGACCUUGAACUUGGGCUUCCUUGGUGGACUCUGUCUCAUGGGAGUAGAUCGUAUUUUUAUCAUUGGAAAUCUUUCAUUGAUCAUCACUGCAGUAAGGGCGUGUAUAUAUUGAAACCGAAAAUGUACCAAGGUCCCUGACCAUGAAGUUUCAAUUGUCAAAUGUGUGGCUCUGAAUUCAGAUUCCAUUGUAAUGGUGAGCAGUGGCCACGUCCUGCUGGGGCUCAGACCCUGGGAAGCAGAUUCGGGAUCCUGGCAGGUGAAACAGGAUGCAGGG